Dermacentor silvarum is the source of this 3110-nucleotide long non-coding RNA. RefSeq lists it as uncharacterized. The transcript is spliced from 3 exons. NCBI's taxonomy places the organism in Eukaryota, Metazoa, Arthropoda, Arachnida, Ixodida, Ixodidae. The record is from RefSeq and is a predicted model, not a curated record.
UACGAGGUGUACAAAUUUGUAGGUCUGCAUUAAGAACAGAUAUGGCACUUCUGUAAACUGCAUCCGUUAGAGCAUCCAAAGCGGACAAAUUUGAUACAUCAAUUUACAUCUUACGUGAAUUAGUUACAUUGUUUACAAGUGUUUUGCAAAAGUCCAACUAACAUAUUAGUGCUCUAUUUAAGAGCCAUGUAUAAUACACUAAUUUUGUCCGCUUUAGAUGCGCCAGCAUAUGCAAUUUACAGAAUUGUGAUAUCCUUUUUCAUUGCUGAGUUACAGAGUUGUAAACUUGACAGUGUGGCUUUCUGAAAAUUAGCCGAUUUUCUACAAUUUUUAUAAAAAAACUUGACGGCCUAAAUUAAGCAUUCGCUACCAACAGUGACUAUAUUUUAAGUUCUUCUUUUAAAUGCCACAAACCCCAUCAAAUUUGGAGCAGUGGUUGCCGAGAAAAACGAUUUCUCCUAGCUUUCCCAUGUAUUCAGAUAGGAGCCCCCGUGCUAAAGCUACCAAUGCUCGUAAAUCGGAGGGGCCAAAGAAACUGAAACAAAAUAUUGUUUGUGGUGAGUACUUUCUAAAUAUCAUAUGCUUUAAAUUGUUAUAUAUGAGAAACUAAACAGAUAUAUGUUCGAACUUUGUUGAGUUUUGCAAAGUCCACAUUCAAACUCUUCCAGAUGGCGCCACAACGGCUCGCCAAACGCGCGCGGUGCGAAUACGAAAGUUCGUCAACUGUGAGAUACGAGCGCGGGAAACUGCUGCCUGUGGGCAAGCUGGUGCCGGCUUGACAGCUCAACGUUUUCCGUUUGUGCUUACGAGGCGGCGUUACUUGAGAGAAGAUAAUAAUACUUUGAUGCUCUUCUCACGCCUACAAAUGAGGGCGACGUGAUAAACAGCACAGCACGCGAAAGGGUACGUGAACGCCAACGAACGGCGUGCCGCCAACAACUGCAUGGGCUGUCACUUCAGUGUAUUCUUCCCGCCUUUGGAAGAAGCAUUUUGGACUAAAGCUACCUUGAUAUGUACAAAACAUGGGAGACUACGUGCAGGAUUAUGAAUGGCUACCUGAAUGCUGCUUGAAGCAGCCAGCUCUACAGCACCACUCGUGCCCCUUUCCAUGGGUUGGCAAGAGGAGCAGUGGCACACAACUCUACAGGCACUUGUGCUUUUUAUCAUCUUUGGAGGAGAUGUAUUGGCAGCUGCAGGUGGUCCCUUCUCAUACGCCAUGCCAAGGAGUCCUGCAAUCCGAGUCAUGCAUCACUGCCGGUGACUGGUAAUGGUGACAUUUUUUUCAUAUUCAGUAUCAAGAAUGCUUACUUUUCCUAGCCUUUUGUCACUCAUCCCCUCGUUUUUCAAAUGUUAAAGUGUUGCACGUAGGCUGUUCUGUAUUCACACUACUCGAAUAUUUUUUUUCCACAGCCCCAAAUUUUAUUUUAGUUGGACUUUAUAAGCACUUCAAAGCAGCAAAAGCCAACAGUGCACAGUUUAAAGCAGCUGGAGGUGCUGCUUCAUGUGUACCAAUUGUCACACUCACUGCAGAAGGUUGCUGACAAGUAUGGGAUCCCAGUUGUGCUGUUUGACGUUGUGCUGCUAAGCCCGAGGGCACGGGAUGUAAACCUGGCUGUGGUAGCCGCAUUUCAAUGUGGGUGAAAUGCAAAAACACCCAUGUACCAAUUAAGGAACCCCAGGUGGCAACAUUAAUUUGGAGUCCCUCGUACUGCAUGCCUCAUAAUCAUAUCGUGGUUUUGGCACGUAAAACCCCAGAACUUAGUUUAAUUUAACAGUUGGUGCCCUUCGGUUUUCCAAUUUUCUCAUUUUCUUGCUUACAAAAGCUCUGUUCUCGCUACAAAUGACAAAUUCGUGAUUACGGAAGCCGAACUUUCAAUCUAGCUUACCUCAAUAUUUUUCUUUAGCGUACCUUUAACAUGCAUUUAUAGCAUUGAACCUGAAUUAUUUUGCAUUUAUCCAUGUUGGACUUGUGCUCAACAGCUGGAUGGCAUAGAUGCAGAGCUACUACUGUGGGCUUCAAGUUGCAAGCUUGUCUUUUCAUUUAGAAGUAAGAUCACCUGAACCUGGUUCUCUAUUAUCAGGUAGACUACUAAGGAAGGCAGACAUUACUUGCGUGAUAGAUCUCAGUGAUCAGUUAAAUUUGUGUUCAGUUUUUGGCCCCCAAAAAGUGAACAGAAUUGUAUAUUGUAGUUGCAGGGCUUGAAGCUAGUAAGUCAAAUGCACUUAACCCUUUCCCUGGCAGGUAUGUCACAGCUUGUCACUCGCCACUUCUCCAAGUGCAUUUCGCUAACUGCUAAAUUUCAAAAGCCAACAAGGCUUGUGUGCUUAAAACGUUUCUCAGGUGAUCGAAAGAUAACCACUUGAAAGGAAAUCAAGGCAUGGUGCGACGAUUGCGCCGUGGCACUGUGCAGUGUUUCUUGCUUAGAAGUCUUUGCAACCAUUGAAGCCAAGUUACACGGGCAUUCAUCAAAGUGAUAGUAUUGCUGUUGUAGAGCAAAGAACACAUCUUUUCAGCUAACCUUACAAUUUCGGAGCUGCGCAGCAAUGUCUUUAUUAGCACUGCGAUUAAGCAAACUAUCAGUUUAUUUUUCUUGUAAUAUUUUUUUCAAACCUUCUUCCAAAAUGAAUAUUUUAAGCAGCAUAUUUUAUGCUCUUUAUUUUGGUUUAUGUUUCUUCGAAUGACUAAAACAUUUGGUAUAUACUUGGGUCCUUUUUCCAGAGUGUGUUUGGUAUUACAAGGGUAAACAGAUAGCGAGCCAAGCUGGUGUUGAAAUGAUCAUCAUCAGCCUAUAUUUAUGUCCACUGCCGGACGAAGGCCUCUCCCUGUGAUCUCCAAUUACCCUUGUCUGCGCUAGCUGAUUCCAACUUGCGCUUGCAAGUUUCCUAACUUCAUCACCCCACCUAGUUUUCUGCCGUCCUCGACUGCGCUUCAAUUCUCUUGGUAUCCAUUCUGUAACUCUAAUGGUCCACCGGUUAUCCAUCCUACGCAUUACAUGGCUGGCCCAGCUCCAUUUUUUCCUCUUAAUGUCAACUAGAAUAUCGGCUAUCCCCAUUUGCUCUCUGAUCCACACCGCUCUCUUCCUGUCUCUUAACGUUAGGCCUAACAUUUU